Molecule: ribosomal RNA, 910 nt
Filed under: Phialophora dancoi
Lineage: Eukaryota; Fungi; Ascomycota; Eurotiomycetes; Chaetothyriales; Herpotrichiellaceae
Description: LSU rRNA
Rfam family: Eukaryotic large subunit ribosomal RNA
Source: RNAcentral
GCAUAUCAAUAAGCGGAGGAAAAGAAACCAACAGGGAUUACCUCAGUAACGGCGAGUGAAGCGGUAACAGCUCAAAUUUGAAAGCUAGCUCUUUUAGGGUUCGCAUUGUAAUUUGUAGAAGAUGCUUCGGGUGUGGCCCCGGUCUAAGUUCCUUGGAACAGGACGUCAUAGAGGGUGAGAAUCCCGUAUGUGACUGGGUGCUUUCGCUCAUGUGAAGCUCUUUCGACGAGUCGAGUUGUUUGGGAAUGCAGCUCAAAAUGGGUGGUAAAUUUCAUCUAAAGCUAAAUAUUGGCCAGAGACCGAUAGCGCACAAGUAGAGUGAUCGAAAGAUGAAAAGCACUUUGGAAAGAGAGUUAAACAGUACGUGAAAUUGUUGAAAGGGAAGCGCUUGCAACCAGACUUGCGCGCUGAUGAUCAUCCGGGCUUCUGCCCGGUGCACUCGUCUGCGCUCAGGCCAGCAUCGGUUUUGGUGGUGGGAUAAAGGCCUUGGGAAUGUAGCUUCUUUCGGGGAGUGUUAUAGCCCUCGGUGCAAUGCCGCCUACCGGGACCGAGGACCGCGCUUCGGCUAGGAUGCUGGCGUAAUGGUUGUAAGCGACCCGUCUUGAAACACGGACCAAGGAGUCUAACAUCUAUGCGAGUGUUUGGGUGUCAAACCCAUACGCGUAAUGAAAGUGAACGGAGGUGAGAACCCUUAAGGGUGCAUCAUCGACCGAUCCUGAUGUCUUCGGAUGGAUUUGAGUAAGAGCAUAGCUGUUGGGACCCGAAAGAUGGUGAACUAUGCGUGAAUAGGGUGAAGCCAGAGGAAACUCUGGUGGAGGCUCGCAGCGGUUCUGACGUGCAAAUCGAUCGUCAAAUUUGCGUAUAGGGGCGAAAGACUAAUCGAACCAUCUAGUAGCUGGUUCCUGCCGAA